GGCAGCGGAGUACUACACCACGAAGGCAGCGGAGUACUACACCACAGAAGCUGCUAAUUCGUACUACGUUGAACCAGAAUACUAAACCGAGGCUCCAGUUUACUACACUGCAACCUGCGCUGGUCCCAUGUGCUACACUGAGGCUCCUAAGUACUACACCACUAAGGCAUCCGAGUAUUACACCACUACUUACGCUGCUACUACCUACUACUACCUACUACCACCAACUACAACGAAUCUCCGAAACUUUUGUUAGUAACUUCAAGAGUUCAAGCCUGUCAACAUUGCGGCAGGUGUCUAUUGGUGUUGGAUUUCUUCAAGGCCAGUAUCCUACGUUGUGACACGUCUGUUUCGUGUUUUAAAGGUGACUAUUGCCUUAGUCGCUUUGCUUACACACGUAUUCUUGUGUUUUGACGAUGUUUCAAGUGUAGGUUAUGAAAGAAACAUGUAACUGUUGAUUUUUGCAAAUCUUAGAAGUAAAAGGCAAUUGGCUGACUU
This is a long non-coding RNA of Daphnia pulex (common water flea), 498 nucleotides long. RefSeq lists it as uncharacterized. NCBI's taxonomy places the organism in Eukaryota, Metazoa, Arthropoda, Branchiopoda, Diplostraca, Daphniidae. The transcript has 2 exons. The record is from RefSeq and is a predicted model, not a curated record.